Molecule: non-coding RNA, 1465 nt
Organism: Punica granatum (pomegranate)
Lineage: Eukaryota; Viridiplantae; Streptophyta; Magnoliopsida; Myrtales; Lythraceae
Source: RefSeq, a predicted model, not a curated record
UUAUCGGGCUGUCAACUGCAUUCGCCGAGUAUCGAAUUCAGCUCCGACUUGAUCUACUGCAAAGCUCAGCUCGAGCUCGGUUCCCUUUUGAAUAAAAACCGAAUCAAAUUGAUGGAACUUCUUGGUAUUCCACAGAAGUUGGGGGCCAAUGGUGCACUCUCUACAAUUUAGGAGACAGUGGGGCAAUUUUUCAGGAGAAAAUCCGGGUAAGGAAUCGGGCAGCUGACCCGACAUGUCUCAGCGGCCCGGGCCCGCCCAUACCUUUAACAAUUUGUUUACCGGCCGCCACCGCCGCGGACUUUUACUCCGGUCAUCAUUUCUUUGUACAGACAUGGAAAGUCCGCUGAAUCUACUCGAAAUCUCCUCUUCUCCGAUCCUACAGCUCCAUCCCCAACUCCUUCACCAUAGAAGCUCCUCUCUGCAUGCUCUUCACUUCACCAGGCGGAUUCUCGAUCCGGAAGGGUGCAGAUGGCGUUGCCGUUGAGGGCCGCCCUGUGGAUGGCAAAGAUGGUUUGGAUAGCACUCACCGGCUGGGUAUCUUCUUGCUUGACCGUCGCCGACGAGGUCGCCGGCUCUCUCAGAUCCGGCGAUAUCAGCCCUUUCCAUGUCGGAUAAUCGGAACUCGUGCGGGGAUUGAGUGGUCGCCUCCCCGUUCGUCUCCUUAGUGUUUGGUACAUAGCUGCUCCUCUUUGUGAAUGCUAUACCUUUUCAUCUCCUUGCCGAGCUCGAAUCAAUUGCUGCUGCUCUUUGUCAAGCUUGUCCAGUGGCUUCAAGUCAAUAAUGAUUGAUGGGAUGGAUUCCUUUGGCUGAGUUCAUGGUGUCAUGCUUGGGAUUGUGUUGAACUCCCUAUUUGAUGAUCAAUGAUAGAUUGCAUGGAACAGCAAAACAAUGUCGAUAUGAAGAAAAGUGACCGAAUUUGCCAAUAUGAAUCAUAUGCUGGAGUGAUCACAGGAAGGAUUAAUUCUAACGUUUCCAACAGACAGCAAGAUCGUAGUACUUGUCGUGCCUGCAGAAUUAGUAUCUGUUGACUCCUUUCGAUCGCUUCAUGUUCGAUUCUUUUAGACGAGCAGUCAUGUUAGAUUAGAUCAGGAUCGUAGCUGUAAAGGAUCGUGGCUGUAAAGAGGACGGUUGCUGCAAAGUAUUGAAGACUUGAGAAACGAAGAAGAGAGAAAGGAGUUUUUGUGUGAGAGUAUUCAACUCCCUGCCCUUGGUUUUAUUGUCAAAAUUUAUCGAGGAGUUACGUAAAAGAUGUAAUCUCGUCUGGGCAUCCAAAAAGCAGCUACAGAUCUAUGCUGACUGAAGAUCUCUCUGUUUCUGUUUACUUCUUGAGACGUUUUAUCCUGUGGAUAUGAUCUUUCGAGUGUUCGCUCUUUACCUCUGUAAAUGCUGUGUAGCAGUUUGUGACUUCGUGUUAUCUAUCAACUUAUGCAACGAAAAGCUCUGAUUCUGUCUCUUCAGGAGAUUA